This is a long non-coding RNA of Lycium barbarum (goji berry), 1821 nucleotides long. RefSeq lists it as uncharacterized. The transcript has 3 exons. The record is from RefSeq and is a predicted model, not a curated record. Lineage: Eukaryota; Viridiplantae; Streptophyta; Magnoliopsida; Solanales; Solanaceae.
UUUGACCUUUUGAUUUUUUUUUGAGACAUAAGUUAUAUAUGAAAUUGUCGGCAUUGAACACCUAGGAAAAAAAAAUUGGGACCACAAUUCAUAAAUUUGGGAUUUAAAAAUCUUGCUAAUUGGGGCUCUUGGCCGUGUAGGUCCUUAAUGGCCCACACAAUUUUUGUGGUCAAUUUUAAUUAGUCCACCACUUGUGUGGGCCAUGAUCACUUGUACAAUAUAUGUGGACUUAAAAGAUGACCAAGAGCUCAUCUUUCUCUUAUUCACCACUUAGCAAAAUAUCAAGAAAAGUUGGAGAAACAACUCCCUCUAGCUCACGGCUAAGAGGAGGAAAAUCCAACUCCAUUUUUAGCCUUCCCAAAAAAAUAAUUCUUUGGCUCAAACCCACUAAUUAGAGGUCCCUAAGUAUCGUGGAAACAUCGUUGGAGCGAUCAAGUCAUACAUUUAAGAGAUGUGCAAACCCUAACUUCCUUGUGGGUUGAAGAACAAAGAUCGUGGGCAGCCCGAAGCCUAGUUUGGACUUAGCUUGAGUUGGAUCAUAUUGGAGAGCGUUUGAGGUACAGACGCACAGCCUGGUGAUCCACCGGUUUAGGACACCCCCUUCUGCUAUUCGGAGUGCUCCUCUCAUUCCGGAGCUUAUAUUUUUGGUAUAUAUAUUUGUUAGUGCAUUUAUAUAUAUUCGUUCAUGGGUACGGCGGGGCCCUGUCCUGUCAUAUGAUUCUGUCGGUCUGUUUAGAGGUCUGUGGACAUGUUUGUGGGUUAGGGUCUUCCUGUACGGAUGCGUGUAUAUGUUGUGUUUGGGCGAUCCCAUUCGCCGCGGCGGCCGGUCCGCAUAUGUUUACAUGUUGCUUUGUUGGCCGGUGUGGCCUUUGUUGGUAUUUUCUGUGCGCAGGGUUAUUUUGGAUAGUCGGUAAAACAAAGGAAACUCUGCCGAAAUUUUUCUGGAAAUUUUCUAAAUUUGAAAUAUAGCCUUGACGGCUUCUGCUAUAUACUUGAAUGCGUUUGAUAAAAUUUGAGAUAGCAUUUGAUAGAUGUGUUUGGGUGCCCAGAUCGGGUACUAGUCACGGCCUACGGGGUUGGGUCGUGACACUUAACACUGAUGGCAAUCAUAGCAAUGAUGAUUUUAUUGGAGCGUGAGGUAUUAUAAGAGAUAGUAAUGGUCAGAUCAUUAUGGCAUAUGCUAAAAACUUGGGAAAAGGAAGCAGUAACAUUGCAGAAGCAAAAGCUAUAAUUUAUGGUUUACAAUGGUGUACCUCACAAAGUCUUCAAAAUAUUAUUCUUGAAAGUGACUCCCUAGUCAUUAUCAAUAUGGUGAAGGGUAAGAGCAAUAUAGCCUGGCAACUUCAGGAUUCCAUUGAUAUUAUUAAACGGAUGCUCGCUAAGACAACCAACAUUGUUCAACAUUGUUAUAGAGAAGCGAAUCAAGUUGCGGAUGCAUUGGCCAAAAUAGAAGAAGAUGAAGAACAAUUCUAUGAUAGCAAGGAUCUGCCUAAUCAAGCUGCAGCGGCAUACUCAUUGGACAAAGAGAAUAUGGCCUCCAUAAGGCAUAAACAGAGGAGGAACAUACUUGUAUAAGGCCACUUUUUGUUGUUAGCUGUUUUUUAGAGUUGAGAAGUUUACUCUCUGUUUUGCUGGCUACAGUAAGCAGAUGGGCUUAUGUAAUUCUGCAGAGAUUUGCUCAUUGCUUUAACCUCUACCUUUUGUACAUCUUUUGUUGAUGAAAUAGAAGGUCACGCCUCCUUAAGGCGUAUAUUAUAUAUAUAAAUAAAUAAGCUAAUAUGAAAUGUAGUUAUCUUGAUUGGAAUAAAGUCAAAGUUUUCA